This 374-nucleotide ribosomal RNA is filed under the name uncultured bacterium. RNAcentral's name for it is "bacterial SSU rRNA". It matches the Rfam family "Bacterial small subunit ribosomal RNA", at positions 524 to 898 of the family's 1533-position model. The record is from RNAcentral.
UACGAAGGGGGCUAGCGUUGUUCGGAAUUACUGGGCGUAAAGCGCACGUAGGCGGAUAUUUAAGUCAGGGGUGAAAUCCCGCAGCUCAACUGCGGAACUGCCUUUGAUACUGGGUAUCUUGAGUAUGGAGGAGGUGAGUGGAAUUCCGAGUGUAGAGGUGAAAUUCGUAGAUAUUCGGAGGAACACCAGUGGCGAAGGCGGCUCACUGGUCCAUUACUGACGCUGAGGGGCGAAAGAGUGGGGAGCAAACAGGAUUAGAUACCCGGGUAGUCCACGCCGUAAACGAUGAAUGUUAGCCGUCGGGCAGUAUACUGUUCGGUGGCGCAGCUAACGCAUUAAACAUUCCGCCUGGGGAGUACGGUCGCAAGAUUAAA